AUAUCAAUAAGCGGAGGAAAAGAAACCAACAGGGAUUGCCCCAGUAACGGCGAGUGAAGCGGCAACAGCUCAAAUUUGAAAUCUGGCCUUCGGGUCCGAGUUGUAAUUUGUAGAGGAUGCUUUUGGCGCGGUGCCUUCCGAGUUCCCUGGAACGGGACGCCAUAGAGGGUGAGAGCCCCGUCUGGUUGGACACCAAGCCUCUGUAAAGCUCCUUCGACGAGUCGAGUAGUUUGGGAAUGCUGCUCUAAAUGGGAGGUAUAUGUCUUCUAAAGCUAAAUAUUGGCCAGAGACCGAUAGCGCACAAGUAGAGUGAUCGAAAGAUGAAAAGCACUUUGAAAAGAGAGUUAAAUAGCACGUGAAAUUGUUGAAAGGGAAGCGAUUAUGACCAGACUUGGGCUUGGUUGAUCAUCCGGCGUUCUCGCCGGUGCACUCUUCCGGCCCAGGCCAGCAUCAGUUCGCUGCGGGGGAUAAAGGCGUCGGGAAUGUGGCUCCCUCGGGAGUGUUAUAGCCCUUCGUGCAAUGCCCUGCGGUGGACUGAGGACCGCGCUUUAUGCAAGGAUGCUGGCGUAAUGGUCAUCAUCGACCCGUCUUGAAACACGGACCAAGGAGUCGUCUUCGUAUGCGAGUGUUCGGGUGUCAAACCCCUACGCGUAAUGAAAGUGAACGCAGGUGAGAGCUUCGGCGCAUCACCGACCGAUCCUGAUGUUCUCGGAUGGAUUUGAGUAAGAGCAUACGGAGCCGGACCCGAAAGAAGGUGAACUAUGCCUGUAUAGGGUGAAGCCAGAGGAAACUCUGGUGGAGGCUCGCAGCGGUUCUGACGUGCAAAUCGAUCGUCAAAUAUGGGCAUGGGGGCGAAAGACUAAUCGAACCUUCUAGUAGCUGGUUUCCGC
Molecule: ribosomal RNA, 890 nt
Filed under: Pseudonectria rousseliana
Lineage: Eukaryota; Fungi; Ascomycota; Sordariomycetes; Hypocreales; Nectriaceae
Description: eukaryotic LSU rRNA
Rfam family: Eukaryotic large subunit ribosomal RNA
Source: RNAcentral